Molecule: long non-coding RNA, 647 nt
Filed under: Equus asinus (donkey)
Lineage: Eukaryota; Metazoa; Chordata; Mammalia; Perissodactyla; Equidae
Description: lncRNA (ENSEASG00005031956.1)
Source: RNAcentral
CAUUGAGAUAUAACUGGAAGAACAGAUUUUAGAGUCCCCUUGACAAGUCCUGCAGACUUAUCCUCGCGAAAGCAAGAUACGGAUCCCUUGAUUACGCCAGCACAGCAUCUUUUGCUUUUGAUAACAUCUUCCUGAUUUUGCUUUCUGGAAGUCACCCCCUUGGUCAGGAUUGGGUCCAAAUAACUUCUGAAGACUUUUCCAGCCCUGAGUCUCUGCGUUAUCAGAACAAAGAAAUGUUUUCCAGAGGCCCCAAGCAGACUUUUCUGGACAUCUCAUUGGCCUGGAAAGUGUCCUGUGCCCAUUUCUAAGAAUCACUGGCAAGAGUGAUGGAACAAUCACCAUGUUUCCCUUAGACAAGUCCAGACUGAGCCUAUGGGCAUCCCAAAGGUUCUGCCUCUUUGCCCAGCGCGUAUGAUUCAGCCGAGGGUGUUGUUGAAAUGCAGGCUCUGGCCCAGUAAGGCUGGGGUAGGGCCUGAGAUUCUGCCUUCCUAGCAAGCUCCGCCGAUGCCCGUGCAGCUGCUUUGUGGCCCACACUUAGAGCUGCAAGGCCCUGAUCUCUGCAAACUGGCGGGAAGGACACGCCCCCACUCGAAGCCCCUCUGCUGGCCCUUGGAGCAGUGUAUCCUGGAUUCAAAGGACCAGAAAAA